UCGCGGCCUAUCAGCUUGUUGGUGGGGUAGUGGCCUACCAAGGCGACGACGGGUAGCCGGCCUGAGAGGGUGACCGGCCACACUGGGACUGAGACACGGCCCAGACUCCUACGGGAGGCAGCAGUGGGGAAUAUUGCGCAAUGGGCGGAAGCCUGACGCAGCGACGCCGCGUGGGGGAUGACGGCCUUCGGGUUGUAAACCUCUUUCAGCAGGGACGAAGCGGAAGUGACGGUACCUGCAGAAGAAGCACCGGCCAACUACGUGCCAGCAGCCGCGGUAAUACGUAGGGUGCAAGCGUUGUCCGGAAUUAUUGGGCGUAAAGAGCUCGUAGGCGGUUUGUUGCGUCGGCUGUGAAAUCCCGAGGCUCAACCUCGGGUCUGCAGUCGAUACGAGCAAACUAGAGUGUUGCAGGGGAGACUGGAAUUCCUGGUGUAGCGGUGAAAUGCGCAGAUAUCAGGAGGAACACCGGUGGCGAAGGCGGGUCUCUGGGCAACAACUGACGCUGAGGAGCGAAAGCGUGGGGAGCGAACAGGAUUAGAUACCCUGGUAGUCCACGCCGUAAACGUUGGGCGCUAGGUGUGGGGCUCAUUCCACGAGAAGCUUGGAAUUCG
RNAcentral lists this ribosomal RNA (611 nucleotides) under uncultured Blastococcus sp. RNAcentral describes it as "bacterial SSU rRNA". It matches the Rfam family "Bacterial small subunit ribosomal RNA", at positions 231 to 859 of the family's 1533-position model. Lineage: Bacteria; Bacillati; Actinomycetota; Actinomycetes; Geodermatophilales; Geodermatophilaceae. The record is from RNAcentral.